This 264-nucleotide non-coding RNA is filed under the name Dehalobacter sp. RNAcentral describes it as "T-box sequence". It matches the Rfam family "T-box leader". From Rfam's summary of the family: Uncharged tRNA acts as the effector for transcription antitermination of genes in the T-box leader family. T-boxes are found upstream of many aminoacyl-tRNA synthetase genes and some amino acid biosynthetic genes usually in Gram-positive bacteria. Lineage: Bacteria; Bacillati; Bacillota; Clostridia; Eubacteriales; Desulfitobacteriaceae. The record is from RNAcentral.
AUAAAAGUAAUGAUGGGGUAAAGUAAACGGUAUGAGCUUUCCAGGGAGGAAACGUCUUAGACUGAAAGCGUUUCUAUCGCAUUGAUCGUUGAAGGUUCACCCCUGAACUUCCGGACUGAAACCUUUGGGUAAGUAGGUCUGGACGGAGGCUCCCGCCGUUAAAAGGGAGGGGGUAUAAGGAAGAAUAAAGUCCCGUACCUACUGAAAAGUGGGGUCUGCUUAGACCCAAAUAGGGUGGUACCGCGAAGCACUUUCGUCCCUUCA